CCGAGUUUACAACUCCCAAACCCCUGUGAACAUACCAAUUGUUGCCUCGGCGGAUCAGCCCGCUCCCGGUAAAACGGGACGGCCGCCAGAGGACCCCUAAACUCUGUUUCUAUAUGUAACUUCUGAGUAAAACCAUAAAUAAAUCA
Molecule: unclassified non-coding RNA, 146 nt
Filed under: soil metagenome
Description: partial internal transcribed spacer 1
Source: RNAcentral